RNAcentral lists this ribosomal RNA (486 nucleotides) under Scapholeberis sp. JKC-2005. RNAcentral's name for it is "partial 16S ribosomal RNA". It matches the Rfam family "Bacterial large subunit ribosomal RNA", at positions 1832 to 2588 of the family's 2925-position model. The record is from RNAcentral. Lineage: Eukaryota; Metazoa; Arthropoda; Branchiopoda; Diplostraca; Daphniidae.
CUCUUUUAGAUAUAUUCAAAGUAUCGCCUGCUCAAUGCUUUUAGUAAAUAGCCGCAGUAUUUUGACUGUGCUAAGGUAGCAUAAUCAUUAGUCUCUUGAUUAGAGGCUGGUAUGAAUGGUGGGACGAGAAAGCAACUGUCUCUUCAAAAAUUCUUGAAUCUCAUUUCUAAGUGAAAAAGCUUAGAUAAUUUUGAAAGACGAUCAGACCCUAUGGAGCUUUACCUUGAUGUUAAAACUUUAUUAAAAAGAUAGUUUUAAUCCCAAGGUUUCGUUGGGGCGACGAAGAGAUAUAAAUAACACUCUUUUUAUGUAACACACAUAAGUGAAUACUUGAUCCUUAAAGAAAGAUUAAAAGAUUAAGUUACCCUAGGGAUAACAGCGUAAUCUUCUCGGAGAGUUCAUAUCGAUGAGAAGGUUUGCGACCUCGAUGUUGGAUUAAGAAAUUAGCAAGGUGCAGAAGUUUUGCUGGAAAGUCUGUUCGACUUU